UACGGGGGGGGCAAGCGUUGUUCGAAAUUACUGGGCGUAAAGGGCUCGUAGGCGGCCAACUAAGUCAGACGUGAAAUCCCUCGGCUUAACCGGGGAACUGCGUCUGAUACUGGAUGGCUUGAAUCCGGGAGAGGGAUGUGGAAUUCCAGGUGUAGCGGUGAAAUGCGUAGAUAUCUGGAGGAACACCGGUGGCGAAGGCGGCAUCCUGGACCGGCAUUGACGCUGAGGAGCGAAAGCCAGGGGAGCAAACGGG
This 253-nucleotide ribosomal RNA is filed under the name uncultured bacterium. RNAcentral describes it as "partial 16S ribosomal RNA". It matches the Rfam family "Bacterial small subunit ribosomal RNA", at positions 524 to 776 of the family's 1533-position model. The record is from RNAcentral.